AUGUUACCUAAAAAACAUCUAUCUGGCUGUGAGAAAAGAAACAACAAGAAAAGAGUAGACAAGUUGAUUAAAUCUCAGGAAGGCGCUAUAGAUAUGUUUGUCUUGAGGCCUGGUGCUGCUACAAAUUCAGAGCAAUUAUAUAUCACAAAUGGUGAAGAAAAACCUGAUGAUACUAAGAAUGCCGUUGAGGAAAAUCAUGUUGAGAAAAAUAAUGCUGCGGAAAAUGAUGCCGAUCAGCACACGGAAAAUUUUAGUGACCAUGAGAAUCUUGGAAAUGCAGAUGAGCAGGGUUCUUCUUUUGAUAUAUAUGAUCGUAGAACUUGGAAUAUUCUUGACAAUAAAUCAAGAGAUAUUCUCAUUGAAAAAGGACCUAUAAGGGAAUACAAUCUUGUGUUUCCCGAAGAUGAAAUUAGUGGCAGGCAUUUUUCAUAUGAUUACUACACAAGAAAGUUAAGUAAUGGCGAGUUCAGUGAUCGGAGGUGGUUAGUGUACUCUAAACACGUGAAUAAAGUCUACUGCUUUUGUUGCAAAUUGUUUAAAUCUGGAAAAAGCAAAAGUCUGCUAGCAUCCGAGGGAUUAAAGGAUUAGAGACAUCUUAGUGAGAAGCUCAAAUUGCAUGAGAAUAGUGUUGAGCAUAUCACUAACAUGAAUACUUGGAAUGAGGUAAGGGUGAGGCUAAGUAAGAAGGAAACAAUUGAUAAAGACAUGCAACAAGAGAUUGCAAGGGAGAAGGAGCGAUGGAGACUUGUUUUAAUUAGAAUUGUUGUUGCUGUGAAAUUUCUUGCUAAACAUAGUCUGGCUUUUCGAGGAUCGAAUGAGAAAUUAUAUCAAGAUAACAACGGAAAUUUUUUGGGAGUAAUUGAAAUGAUGGCAGAAUUUGAUCCUGUAAUGCAAGAGCAUCUUCGGCGCAUUAAGAAUAGUGAAAUCCAUCAUCAUUAUCUUGGCCAUAAUAUU
Molecule: ribosomal RNA, 954 nt
Filed under: Triticum aestivum (bread wheat)
Lineage: Eukaryota; Viridiplantae; Streptophyta; Magnoliopsida; Poales; Poaceae
Description: partial small subunit ribosomal RNA
Source: RNAcentral